This is a non-coding RNA of Labrus bergylta (ballan wrasse), 698 nucleotides long. The record is from RefSeq and is a predicted model, not a curated record. NCBI's taxonomy places the organism in Eukaryota, Metazoa, Chordata, Actinopteri, Labriformes, Labridae.
GAGAUGAUCAGGAAACGGAGGGAGAUGUUCAAGAAAGUCUGACUACAGGAGAAACCAAGACCACUCUUACUGACGACCACUGAAAUCAACACUUCUUGUUUGCUUGAGCCCGCAUCAGCAUUUUAACUUUUCCUAAUGCAAACAUCCAUGUACAUAACCAGGUAAAGCUUGUAUCACUGUGAUUUAAAAGAAACUGUAAGCGCUUUGUUCACCCUUAAUCUACCAAGUAAACAAGCUCCAAUCAAGUUUAAAAUGUCAACAAAGACUGAUAUAUCGCUGACAACAGGAGUAAAAGGGGUCCAGGUCAGGCUCUGUUGUCUUAAAGUAACCACAUUGGGAACCGUUCCGACACCACGGAGUCUCUGAUGUUGAUUUAUGAAGGACAAAAGUGUAUAAUGUGAUGAUUUAGCCCACGCAAUAACUGUAGCUUUUGGCAGCUUAUCAGCCUCCUUCUUACUCCCUCUUCACAUUCCAUGUCUUUAGUGAAGGGUUAGAAUCAUGAAAUACUUUUAAUCCGUGUGUGUGUGUGUGUGUGUGUGUGUGUGUGUGUGUGUGUGUUUUAAGGAAAUGCAACUAUUUCCUGCCAACGUUUCUUUUAUUCAUAUAUGUUGUGCUAGGAGGGGUUAGAGGCAUAAAAACAGGCGUGCUUGCUGUUGCCAUGGUGCUUUCAGACACUCUCUGCCAGUCUGCGCAGGCGC